UUAAAUUGAAGAGUUUGAUCAUGGCUCAGAUUGAACGCUGGCGGCAGGCUUAACACAUGCAAGUCGAACGGUAACAUGAGUGCUUGCACUUGAUGACGAGUGGCGGACGGGUGAGUAAAGUAUGGGGAUCUGCCGAAUGGAGGGGGACAACAGUUGGAAACGACUGCUAAUACCGCAUAAUGUUGAGAGACCAAAGCAUGGGACCUUCGGGCCAUGCGCCAUUUGAUGAACCCAUAUGGGAUUAGCUAGUUGGUGGGGUAAGGGCUCACCAAGGCGACGAUCUCUAGCUGGUCUGAGAGGAUGACCAGCCACACUGGAACUGAGACACGGUCCAGACUCCUACGGGAGGCAGCAGUGGGGAAUAUUGCACAAUGGGGGGAACCCUGAUGCAGCCAUGCCGCGUGUAUGAAGAAGGCCUUCGGGUUGUAAAGUACUUUCGGUAGUGAGGAAGGUGGUGUAUCUAAUAGGUGCAUCAAUUGACGUUAAUUACAGAAGAAGCACCGGCUAACUCCGUGCCAGCAGCCGCGGUAAUACGGAGGGUGCGAGCGUUAAUCGGAAUGACUGGGCGUAAAGGGCAUGUAGGCGGAUAAUUAAGUUAGGUGUGAAAGCCCUGGGCUCAACCUAGGAAUUGCACUUAAAACUGGUUAUCUGGAGUAUUGUAGAGGAAGGUAGAAUUCCACGUGUAGCGGUGAAAUGCGUAGAGAUGUGGAGGAAUACCGGUGGCGAAGGCGGCCUUCUGGACAGAUACUGACGCUGAGAUGCGAAAGCGUGGGGAGC
This 777-nucleotide ribosomal RNA is filed under the name Gilliamella sp. wkB292. RNAcentral's name for it is "bacterial SSU rRNA". It matches the Rfam family "Bacterial small subunit ribosomal RNA", at positions 1 to 769 of the family's 1533-position model. The record is from RNAcentral. Lineage: Bacteria; Pseudomonadati; Pseudomonadota; Gammaproteobacteria; Orbales; Orbaceae.